Molecule: long non-coding RNA, 2707 nt
Organism: Dendrobium catenatum
Lineage: Eukaryota; Viridiplantae; Streptophyta; Magnoliopsida; Asparagales; Orchidaceae
Exons: 2
Source: RefSeq, a predicted model, not a curated record
CCGCACGCCCCCUUUUCUCCUUGGAUUCGCAAAAACCAAGUCCACGUCUCCCUCCCUAUUUGCGAAACCGUCCGCCUGCUCUCUGGGCAAUUCGCGAAAUCCCCUACAAGUUCGCAAGAGGGACGCACACCUCCUCUCAGCCAUUCGCGAGCCCUAGGUCCGACCCUCUCUGCCGUUAGCAAGCCCAAGCCAAAGACCACCAUCUGACCGGUCCUUGCCUUAGCCACCGCCGGCCCUAGCCUCAUCUGUGCCUCCUUCUUGCUGCGAUUUGCUUGGCCAAGAACAAUAGAAAGUGGUUGCAAGUGUUGUUGUACAUGGAUCUUGAUAAUAUCGGCAAGUUAUCCUUUCUCUUCUUGAAGCAUGGAACUUCAAGUAUUUCUUUCUUAUUUUAGAUUUGGAAAUGUGGUUGAUGCCUCUUUCUAUGAUUUUAAAAUUCGGAAAUAUUAUAUGAAAGAUUUUUUUCUUAAGCUUUUCUUGGCAUCAAGAUGAGUUCUGUGUAGGACGAAAAUGCUGAGAUUAUCUUUCCAAAUUUUGUUUUAAGUUCUAAAUGGCAGUAGAAAGUUCCUGUUGAAACUAUAUUUCUACCUAAAGGCUUUGGGAGUUUAAAAUGCAUGUAUUCCUUAAAAGAAAUAAAAUGGUUCUUCGCCUCUUAUGCUAUGUUUUGGUACAGGAAGCAAGAGAUAUAAUCAUUAGAAAUUUUCCCAAAUUUGAUGAUUGUUUCACAUUCAGAUAUUACCGAAUAUAUAUAUAUAUAUAUAUAUAUAUAUAUAUACUUUAUCUUACAAUAUUUUGUGUCAAGAAGAGAUUGAUUGCCAUUUCAUUCCUAAAGCCAAGUCAGAAACCAUUAUAGUUUCUUUUUUCUCUCUGAAUUGGAAUGCGUAAUGGGCCUUUUUAGGUUAUCUUUGGAGGAAAAGAACAUGAUUAUCCUUUUCUAAAUUUUGAAAGAACGUAUACUUUGUUGAUUAUUCUCUUCUGAAGUAAUGAAGAGGUAUUAGAUGGUUGCAAGAUUUGCUUCUUGUAUUUUACUUUUUUUUUUUAAUAUUUAGAUAUACACAUGUCUGACCGCUUACAAGUAACAGUUUCAUGUUUUGUGACGUUGAUUCCAUACUUUCAUAGAAAAUACAUUCGCAUUAUUUGCAAUGGUGGAUUCAGUCAAAGCUUCUCAUGAUAGAUUUUAUCUAUUUAUGUUUAAGUAUUGACUUGUUUCUUGUGAUAUAUUUUCUUGAGGCAAAUUGGGGAGCAUAUCUAUGAACUUAUUUUGUUCCUCCAAAAUUUGAUUGUGGUUGCAUUUUGCUUUAUUAGACGGCUGCACUUCUUUAUUUCUUUUCUUUGAAUGAUUGCAUUAAUUCUUUUUUGUUUUUGAGCAAAAUAGGCAUGCAAGAAGAGAAUGGAAGUUUUCUUCUUAUUAUCUUCAUAAGUAAUUGCUCGCAUGAUUUUUAACUUGUUUGACAUAUUAUUCAUUCAAUAAAAUUAGCGAAGCGCCAUUGUGUUUUUACUUGCUCUCACUAGUGAUAUGACAAAUGAUAUGAUGAAUUGUAUUCAUGAAUAAAGUUAUGGUUUACUGAGAUCUUUGGAAAGAAUGAAUUUGCAGCAAGUCAUCUUUCUUUUCCUAAUUUCAUUUAGCUAUGACUGUUGAGAUAGAAAGUGCAAGAUGCAUGUGUAUAUUUGGUGGAUCAUGAUUGGUGGAAAUUGAUAUACAUAGUCAUGCUUCAUCUUUUACAUGGAUGUUUUCUUCCUAUGGUUUGGGAAAGAAAAAGUGGUUUUGGUAAAGAGUGAAUUUUGAAAAGUGAAAGUAAAGCGUAUGUGAGAGAUUUUGAAAAAUAAAAUGUGUUAUCUUAAAAGGUAAAGAAUGAUUUUGCGAUGAGGUGGAAAAUUUUGGGAAAAUGAAAUGUGUCUGUGAAAGUAGAAAUGCAUGAUUUUGUGGGAAGUGUGUGUGUUGAAAGGUAUUGCUUGAGAAAGAUGAAAUGUGAGAUGUAGGGUUUUGGAAGUUAAGGUGUUUGAUAAGUUUCUUUGAAACUUUGAAAAGUGGAGUGUGUGGAUGUUGGAUAGAGAAUGGUUUGGGUGAUCUUUGGAAAUUAAAAUUUAAAGAAAAGAAAAAGCUCUCUUUCUCUCUAUCUCUCUCUCUCCUUUUCUUCCUCUUUCUUAUGCCUCAAGGUGAAUGUUGGAAAAUUACGAAGUAUGCUUUCAUAAGUAAAAAAGCUCAAAAGGCAAUCAACCACACCGGUGCAUGACCAACCCAAAAAAAAAGAUACGUUUUAAUUUAAAUAGUAUUUUUUAAAUUAUUUUCUUUUUUGAUUAUUAAACAUGCUUCUAAUCCCUGCUUUAUUGUCUUUAUUUUUAUGAACUGCAAGGAAUGUACCGAUCAAGUGAACUAAAGGGAAAUGGGACAGAGGCGUCAAUCGCCUCCAUCCAACCGGUUGGAGGUGCUACGGGCUGAAAUACUAGAUGUUAGCUUCUGUACGCUAUUCGAUGAAUUCAAGGAGCUCACAAAAGAAAAGAAGGCUAAGGAGAGAAGACGAAGAAGUGAAGAAAAGAAAAUAUAUCUCAUUUUAAAAUCACUUGAACUAGUCUUAGGAUUAUAAUUCGGGUUUGUUGUCAGUAAUAUUCGACCACUUUAUUUUUCAACAUAGUCUGAGUUGUAAAUAAAAUGACACUUGCCAUAUGAAAUUUGAAUAUUAUAUAUUGGAUAAUUUAAUUUGAUUGUUUU